This 1263-nucleotide unclassified non-coding RNA is filed under the name Zea mays. Its description in RNAcentral is "misc RNA Zm00001eb335360". Lineage: Eukaryota; Viridiplantae; Streptophyta; Magnoliopsida; Poales; Poaceae. The record is from RNAcentral.
CGAACGACGUAAACAACGCCAUGGCUGCGUCUCACUCUCACCUAGGCGGGAAACUCCUCAAAGUGGCGCCUACGCUUCUCCUCUUCUCCUUGGGAUUCGCGCUCGGCAUGGUCUCCAACUCCAAGUUCCCAAGCCUGUACCUCUCGUCCAUCUCGCGAUCGCCCUCUCCGGCGCCACCUCCGCCGGCGCCGGCACCGCCGCCGCUACCACCGCAAAACCCAGAAGUGGGGAUGGCACGGUUCCUGGAGCCGCGCAGCGUCACGCACAACAUGACCGACGAGGAGCUGCUGUGGUGGGCGUCCAUGACGCCCAAGGUCCGCAGCACGCCGUACCACCGCGCGCCCAAGGUCGCCUUCCUGUUCCUGGCGAGAGGGGACCUGCCGCUGCGGCCGCUGUGGGAGAAGUUCUUCGCCGGGCACCAAGGGCUGUACUCCAUCUACGUGCACACCGAUCCCUCCUACGCCGGCUCGCCGCCGGAGGACUCCGUCUUCUACGGCCGCAUGAUCCCAAGCCAGAAAACGAGGUGGGGAGACGUGAGCCUGGUGGCCGCGCAUCGCCGGCUGCUGGCGAACGCGCUCCUGGACGUCGGCAACGAGCGUUUCGCGCUGCUCUCCGAGUCGUGCAUCCCGCUCUACAACUUCACGGCCGUGUACGCCGUGCUCACCGGCACGGACACCAGCUUCGUGGACGCGGUCGUCACCCCGGCGCGCUACAGCGCCCUGUUCGCGGAGCGCAGCAACAUCACGGCCGCGCAGUGGCGCAAGGGCGAGGCGUGGUUCGAGAUGGACCGCGCGCUGGCGCUGGAGGUCGUCUCCGACGCCACCUACUUCCCCACGUUCCGCGAGCGCUGCGCGGGGCAGCGGGCGUGCCUCAUGGACGAGCACUACGUGCCGACGCUGCUGAGCGUGCUGCGCUGGCCGCGCGGCGCCAACCGCUCGCUCACCUUCGUGGACUGGGACCGGAGGCGCCGGACGGGGUUCCACCCGCACACGCACCGCGGCGAGGAGGUGACGCCGGAGCUGGUCGAGGAGAUCAGGGGAGGCGCGCGCGCCGGCAGGAACUGCAGCGCGUACCACGACGGGGCCAGCGGCGUCUGCUACGUCUUCGCGCGCAAGUUCACGCCCGACACGCUCCAGCCGCUGCUCCGGUUGGCUCCCAGGGUCAUGGGGUUCGGCUGAGACGAUCGAGUUUGUAUAUUGCUGACUUCCUCUGGUUGCUUGAUCAGAUGUUUUGUGGAGCUUUUCUUACUGUACGGAGUGUCAU